RNAcentral lists this ribosomal RNA (305 nucleotides) under uncultured bacterium. RNAcentral's name for it is "bacterial SSU rRNA". It matches the Rfam family "Bacterial small subunit ribosomal RNA", at positions 337 to 641 of the family's 1533-position model. The record is from RNAcentral.
UCCUACGGGGCGCAGCAGUGAGGAAUAUUGGUCAAUGGGCGAGAGCCUGAACCAGCCAAGUCGCGUGAGGGAGUACUGCCCUAUGGGUUGUAAACCUCUUUUGUCGGGGAGCAAAAGCCGGACGUGUCCGUCUGUGAGAGUACCCGAAGAAAAAGCAUCGGCUAACUCCGUGCCAGCAGCCGCGGUAAUACGGAGGAUGCGAGCGUUAUCCGGAUUUAUUGGGUUUAAAGGGUGCGCAGGCGGAAUGUCAAGUCAGCGGUAAAAUUUCGGGGCUCAACCCCGUCGUGCCGUUGAAACUGGCGUUC